RNAcentral lists this long non-coding RNA (41677 nucleotides) under Triticum aestivum (bread wheat). RNAcentral's name for it is "long non-coding RNA (TAES_LNC009206)". Lineage: Eukaryota; Viridiplantae; Streptophyta; Magnoliopsida; Poales; Poaceae. The record is from RNAcentral.
CCAGGCAGGAGGCCUUGCCUCUUCGAUCGUGUUGCUUUUGUGCUAGCCUUCUUAAGGCAUCCUUGUUUAACUUAUGUCUGUACUUAGAUAUUGUUGCUUCCACUGACUCUUGUGUAUCGAGCUUGUAUUUGAGCCCUCGAGGCCCCUGGCUUGUAAUAUGAAGCUUGUAUUAUUUUAAUUUGUGUCUAAAGUUGUGUUGUGAUAUCUUCCCGUGAGUCCCUGAUCUUGAUCGUACACAUUUGCGUGUAUGAUUAGUGUACGGUCGAAUCGGGGCGUCACAUACGAUCUCGAGGUAGAUCAUCUUGUACUUGAUACUCCAUCACAUCAAUAUAAUCAAAGCAGGACGUAGGGUUUUACCUCUUCGAGAGGGCUCGGACCAGGGUAAACAUCGUCUCCUGUUUCCCUCCUGUUACCAUUGUUCCUAGACCAACAGCUCGGGACCCCCUACCUGAGAUCCGCCGGUAUUAGCACCGACAUUGGUGGCCCGUACAGGUCCCGUUGUGUGGUCAAAACGGAUCGAUGGCUCGUCUUCAGAUCAGCUUUGACAUUGGCUGCGGCGACAUCUUUGUCCCUGAGUAGUUUUUUGUAUUUGCCAUUGUCGUUCUUCAUGCUUAUUCAACCGAAUGCCUCGGCCGCGUUAAAAGCCUCGCCUCAGAUUAGAUCAUCAGAUUUGGGAGUGACCACCAUGUAUCCUUCCUUGCUCAUGUGUCUGUUCCUUUGGGGAAAUGUCACGCGGUGUUUACCGGAGUCCUGAUAGCUUGCUACAGCCCAGUUACACUCGCUACUGACCGACACAUGCAUUGAUGGGUCACGUAUGCAUGUCCCUGUAAGUUUGUGCCACCUUGGGUUUACGACUAGUCAUGUCUGACCGAGUUCUCUGUCAUAUGAAUGCUAGCGACACAGUCAUAUACGUGAGCCAAAAGGCGCAAAUGGUCCUGACCGAGGUAAGGCUGCAGCCAUGGGUUACCGUGCGUGAGGCUGCAAUAUGAUAUGAUGUGUUACAUGCUAGAUCGGUGUGACUUAGGAUCGGGGUCCUGACAGAUGACCUUGGGGGCUAUAUGAUGCUCGGUCUCCCUCCCCCAACUGUACGCAUACCACUCGAUCAGGGCAUUGCUCAUCAAGGACGACGGUGAGAAGACCACAUUCUCUCUCCACCGCCUCUCCAUUUCCUCCAGUUGCUUCUUCUUCUUUUCCGCCCGAGGGUCGCAACAGUUUUCAAGGGUAGAGUAUUUAACUCAAAUUUAUAGAUUCGACACAAGGGGAGCCAAAGAAUAUUUGCAAGUAUUAGCAGCUGAGUUGUCAAUUCAACCACACAUGGAGAUUAAUUAUCUGCAUCAACGUGAUCAGUAGCAAAGUAAUAUGAUAGUUUUGAUAAUAGUAGCGACAGCAAUAGUAAUGGUAAUAGUGAUAGCAAUAGUUUUGUAGCAAGUGCAACAGUAACGAUAUCAGUAGUAACUUAACAAGAACAAUAUAAGAUAAAUUCGUAGGCAUUGGAUCGGUAAUUUUUUGGAUGCUAUUCAUCAUGUGACAGUCAUAACCUAGGGCGACACAGCACUAGCUCCAGUUCAUAAAUAUAAUGUAGGCGUGUGUUCCGUAAAUAGUCAUACGUGCUUAUGGAAAGAACUUGCACGACAUCUUUUGUCCUACCUUCCCGUGGCAGCGGGGUCCAAUUGGAAACUAAGGGAUAUUAAGGCCUCCUUUUAAUAGAGAACCGGAACAAAGCAUUAACACACAGUGAAUACAUGAACACUCCUCAAACUACGGUCAUCACCAGGAGUGGUCUCGACUAUUGUCACUCCGGGGUUGCCGGAUCAUAAUACGUAAUAGGUGACUGUAACUUGCAAGAUCGGAUCUAGAACAUAGAUAUAAUGAUGAUAACAUAAACGGUUCAGAUCUGAAUUCAUGGCACCCGGGCCCAAAGUGACAAGCAUUAAGCAUGGCAAAGUCAUAGCAACAGCAAUCUCAGAACAUAGUGGAUACUAGGGAUCAGGCCCUAACAAAACUAACUAGAUUACAUGAUGAAUCUCAUCCAACUCCUCACCGACCAGCGAGCCUAUGAAGGAAUUACUCACUCCUAGUGGGGAGCAUCAUGGAAUUGGCGAUGGAGAAGGGUUGGCGACGACGAAGAUCGAAGACCCCCCUCUCCGGAGCCCCAAACGGACUCCAGAUAUGGCCUCCCGAUGAAGAACAGGAGGUGACGGCAGCUCCGUCUCGUGGAACGUGAUAAUUCUUUCUCCUCGAUUUUUUCUGGAAAAAUGUGAUUUUAUAGCGUCGGUUUCAGGGUCUGCGGGGCCACCAGGUGGGGACAACUCACCUGGGCGCGGCUGGGGGGUAGGCGCGCCCUGGUGGGUUGUGCCCACCCAGGUGCCCCCCUCCGGUGGAUCUUGGCUCCAGAAAUUCUCUUUUAUUGUGUAAAAAACCCUCGAAAGUUUCGUUCCAUUUCGAGAACUUUUAUUUCUGCACAAAAACAACACCAUGGUAGUUCUGCUGAAAAUAGCGUCAGUCCGGGGUUAGUUUCAUUCAAAUCAUGCAAAUUAGAGUCCAAAACAAGAUAGAUACGUUGGAGACGUAUCAACUCCUCCAAGCUUAAACCUUUGCUUGUCCUCAAGCAAUUCAGUUGAUAAACUGAAAGUGAAAAAGAAAAACUUUUACGAACUCUUUUGCUCUUGUUUGCAUAAAUAAGCUUAAACAGCACCCAGGUUUUCACCCAAGAUCAUAACUAACCAUGUCGACAAUAACUCUUAAAAAUUAUAUUAAUUCAUAUCAAUGGCAUAAUCAGCUAGCGAGCAAUAAUAAGAUAUCUCAAACACCAACACGUUGUCAAAACAACCAUUAUAUAACAUGACAAUAGUGGUAUCUCGCUAGCCCUUUGAGACCCCAAAACAUAAAUGCAGAGCACCUCCAAAGUUCAAGCAGCGACUAAACAUUGUAAUUCAUGGUAGAAAAGAUCCAGUCAUGAUGCACCCAACAUUAGCUACACACAAUGCAUCAGCAUGACAGCAGCGCUCUCAGGUUCUGGCGCUUAUUUUAGAAGGUGAUGACACAACAUAAAAGUAAAUAGAAAGUCCCUUCGCAGAGGGAAGCAGUGAUUUGCAGCGGUGCCAGAGCUCAUGUUUUUAAAACAGAGGUAAAUGAUAUUUUGAGACAUGCACCCUUCUUGUUUACUUCACGACCAUCAGUUAUCAAUAUCUUCCAUGCUAAGCACGCUAGUGGCGGUUCCCAAGCGAUAAAUUAAAGGUUAUGAGUCCGUUGGAGUUUUUGUUUAAUUAUCUGAGAGAUCAAUUCUUUUUGCAGUUUGGGACUAGGCAUCCCUAUUACCGCCCUUUUCUCGUGCGAUGGUGAGUGAAUAAACACUCAUCCCGAGAAUAACCCGCUUAGCAUGGAAGAUACCGACUACCUCAUGUCGCUCCAUGAACGAUACAUGCACACAAAAAGGAUAUUUAUUUGAAGUUUUUAGAGAUGGCACAUACAAAUUUACUUACGACGGCAGGGUAAUACCGCAUAUAGGUAGGUAUGGUGGACUCAUCUGGAAUAACUUGGGUUCAAGGUUUUUGAUGUACAAGCAGAAUUCCCACUCAGUACAGGUGAAGGCUAGCAGUUAUGUUGAGAAACGGCCAGCAAGAGAGCAACAACGGUCAUGAACAUGCAUUAUGCAUAAGUAACAUUGGACACUAGCAUGAGUAGGAUAUGAACACCAUGAACAUAAAUAUCAUUGAGGCUAUGUUGGUUUUGAUUCAACUACAUGCAUGAACAUUCAGAGGAGGAUACCAUAUCAUCAUGCUACAUCACAAUCAUUUUAACGCAAUGUUGAUAUCCAAGAUAAAUCAUUAUCCACUCCUAACUACUUAUGCAUGACAUGAGAAACUAUAAUCUCUAAUUGUCAUUGCAAACAUGUUUAAUCAUAAUGGGCUGAAUCAUGGAUACUAGGUUAAACAUAUUUACAAAACAGAACAAGUCGAGUUCAUACCCGUUUCUCUCUGCCAUGACCAGUUCAUCAAAUAUCGUCAUUAUUGCCUUUCACUUGCACGACCGAACGAUGUGAAAAUAAUAAUAGUGCAAGAGUGCCGUGGACUAAGCUGGAAUCUGCAAACAUUUUAUUCAACAGGAGAAGACAAGGUAAUAUGGGCUCUUUGUUAGAUCAACAAUUAUGCAUAUGAGAGCCACUCAACAUUUUCAUCGUGGUCUUCUCCUCGGUACGACUCAAUAAAAAGAAAUUCGGAGAAACACACUGAAAUGUUUUUGGAAUUUUUGGUUUUCUUGAACAAACAAAUAAAAGGGAAAAACAAAAACAAGAAAAACUAUUUACACGGGAAAGCUCCCAACAAGCAAAAGAAGAACAAGGAAAUCUUUUCGGGUUUUCUUUUUAGUGCUACAGCUAACUACUCUAGAAAGAAAAUUUUAAAAGAUGCAAUAUUUUUGUAUUUUCUCAAGUUUUUCAAACACACAAGAAGAAAGCGAGAAAAUAAAUUUAACAUAGAUAAUACAAUGAAAAAGUGUGGACACUGACAACUGGAAUGAAAUGUGAACAUGCAUGCAAUGUCGGUGGAAAUAUGUACCCCCCCCCCCAAGCGUAGGCUUUUGGCCUAACUUGGUAAUCAGCCAGUAGUCGAAGAAACCAUGGGGUCCCAUGUCGAACUACUGAGGAGAGGGCACCUAUGGAUCCCACUACUGAGGCUCCUCCUCUAGUGCAGCCUGGUUGUUCCGGUAGGCGAUGAUAUCUGCAGGCAUAAUCCUGUAUCCACCCCUGGCACCAGGCAAUGGAAUAAUAUCACGAGUUCUCACACUGAAAAUCAGAUUAUACGGAAUAGGGAUGUUAGAGUAAUCGGCAGCAAUAAACUGGUGGUGUGCCAUGGCCGCGCGAUCUAGGUAGACCUUGGGCAAAGGAUAAUCAUGCAGGCGUAUCUCAACGUUAAAGCGAGCCGCCAAACGAGUAGCGUAAAUACCACCAUGUAUUUUACCCUUGAAUUUAUUAAUGUGAAGGCGAUGUGCCACAAUAGCUCCCAAGCUAUAAGUGUUGUCGCCUUCAAGUGCACGACGUAAAACAAGGUCUGGGGCACUAAGUGCACCCACCUUCUCUCUAGCAAGCAAGCAUUUUGCAAUGAAAAGAGUAAAAUAAUGAACAACAGGAAAAUGCAACCAGCGGCGGUGAUACUCGACACCCCUCUCUCAUCAUCCACUGUCAGAGUACGAUAAAAGCCUUCAAACUCCGUAGGCCUGGGCUCUACCAAACCACCAUCAGAAGGAAGCAAGCAUAUUUCACGGAACUUAGUAAGCGGUAUCUGAUGGGGUUCAACGUAUAAAUUAAACUGCACCUCAGGAGGAUUAUUCCUAAGAAGGAAAUUAAAACUUUUCACAAAGGAGUUUUGUGAGGAGAUGAUACUGUUCACAUUCAGCUGCGAUGAAGUCCGUGAGGCCGGCAUUAGCAGCAUAUUGUGCAAACUCUUAAAGGAUUCCGGCCCCUUCCACGAAUGGUGUAUGCGGCCAUUCGCACGGCCAUACUUCCGCCAAUAUCCGGGUAUGGAGAUCACUGUCAGACGACUCCCCAGUAACUCCCUUGGAGUUCUUCUUGGAAGCAAACUUCCUAAAGAUACUAAUCUUUUUCCUAUGAAAAAAAAUCUGAAAUUUUUAGUCCACAAAUUUUUCUCAACAAAACUUUACAAGAUUGAUAGCAACUACUCAUAGGGAUACCUAAAGGCCAUAGCAAGCAUUCAAACUACUUAGAACUCUAAGAAUUCAACAUGCAAGCUCAUCUACAGCAGCACCAAGAGUAGCUAAUUAUUCAAAAUAUAAACCACUAGAGCAAAAACUAAUUGGACAAACGGAGGAGUCACAUACCAAGCAACAAUCCCUCAAAACAGUUUCGGAAACGGAGCUUCAAGCAAAGAGAUCGAAAUCCGCGGGUUUGAGAGCAAGAACACGAGAGAGAGAGAGAGAGAGAGAGAGAGAGAGAGAGAGCAAUGGUGAUUUUUUUUCUAGAAGUAGGUGAUGAAGUGGUAUGAGAGAUAAGUGAGGGGGCCCACGUGGGGACCACAACCCACCAGGGUGCGCCUGGGGGUCCUGGCGCGCCCAGGUGGGUUGUGCCCACCUGGUGCACCUCCCUCUGAUGUUAUUUGCACCAGAAAUUCUUAAAUAUUCAGAAAGUAUUAAAUUUUCCGAGCAUCCUGAGAACUUUUAUUUUUGGGUCAUUUUUUAUUGCACGGGAAAUUCAGAAAACAGACAAAACAAUGCAUUUUAUUUUGUUUAACUAAUAAUAACAGAAAACAAAAGGUAGGGACAGAAGGUAGUGCUUACUAAAUUCAUCAACUUCAUACCUCUAAAAAUGAUCCAUUAAUAAGGUUGAUCAAGUCUUAUUAACAACCACUUUCGAUUAGCAUGAAACCGAAGAACUUUCGUAAAUCACUAAGUUACCUCAAGGAUAUGAAUGUCCCCUACAAUAAGCAUUUCAUAUUUCUUUUUGGCAGUAGGUAGAGGUAGUUGAAAACUUCCAAUAGUGAUUGUCGGAGAUAUUUCGAUAACAUUAAUACCAUCCACUUGGAGUUGUUUCUUCCGAAAGUGCACUGCAUGCUCAUUACCAUUGAUAUGAAAAGUGACCUUGCUUUUAUUGCAAUCAAUAACAGCCCCUGCAGUGUUCAAGAAGGGUCUACCAAGGAUAAUCGACAUGUUGUCGUCCUCGGGCAUCUCAAGUAUAACAAAGUCAGUCAAAAUAGUAACAUUAGCAACAACAACUGGCACAUCUUCACAAAUACCUCUACCACCUUAGGUGGUGAUGGUGUAUCAAGCCCAUGUAUUUCUUCAAUAGGAGGUAAAUUUUUUACAUCCUCAGCUUUAAUAUUUUUUUCCUUCAUAGAUUUCUUUGCCUCUUGCAUAUCUUCAGGGCUGAGAUAUAAUAUACCCCUCUUCUUCGGAGUGGGUUUAGGCGGUGAUUCAGGAAGAGUCCAAUCAUCAUAAUUUUUCAAUAUGUUAUUCAAUAAUUCUUCAGCUUGCCCAAUAGUUCGUUCCCUGAAAACACAACCAGCACAACUAUCUAGGAAAUCGCUAGGAGCAUCGAUAAGUCCAUUAUAGAAGAUAUCAAGUAUUUCAAUUUUCUUAAGAGGAUGAUCAGGCAAAGCAUUAAACAAUUGGAAAAGCCUCCCCCAAGCUUGUGGGAGACUCUCUUCUUCAAUUUGCACAAAGUUAAAUAUUUCUUGUAAGGCAGCUUGUUUCUUAUGAGCAGGGAAAUAUUUUUCAAAGAAGUAAUAAAUCAUAUCCUAGGGACUAUGCACACAACCAGGAGCAAGAGUGUUGUACCAAGCUUUAGCAUCACCCUUUAAUGAGAACGGAAAUAUUUUGAGAAUAUAGUAAUAGCGAGUUUUUUCAUCAUGAGUAAAAAGGGUGGCUAUGUCAUUCAACUUAGUAAGAUGUGCCACAACAUUUUCAGUUUCAUAACCAUGGAAAGGAUCAUAUUCAACCAAAGUAAUUAACUCUGGGUCGACAGAGAAUUCAUAAUCCUUAUCAUCAAUAAAGAUAGGUGAGGUAGCAAACUUAGGAUCAUAUUGCAUUCUAGCAUUCAAAGAUUUUUCUUUAUACUUGCAUAAUAAUUUCUCUAGAUUAUCUCUAUCCUUAAAAGCAAGAAUAUCUCUAGUUGUCUCCUCAUUCAUAACAUAACCUUCCAGUACUUUUGACAUUUCAUAUCUAGGAGGGCUAGUUCUAGUAGGUGUUUCAAGAUUUUCAGUUUCAAGAUCAUCAUCAGUUUCAACAAUAUCAUGUUGUCUUACUCUAGCAAUUUGUUCAUCAAGAAAUUCACCUAGUGGCACAUCAUCAUCAUCAAGCAAGGUACUAGCAUCAUCAUAAGUAUCAUUCAUAGCAGAAGUAGCAUCAUCAAUAACUUGCGACAUAUCAGGAUUGAUAGCAUGUGGUGCGAUUGCAAGUUUACUUAUAACAGAAGGUGAAUCUAAAGCAGAGCUAGAUGUCAGUUCCUUACCUCCCCUCGUCUUAGAGGGAUAAAUCUUAGUCUUAGCAUCCUUCAGAUUCUUCAUAGUGAUAAAUUGAUAAUAAUCCCAAGUGACUCAACAAAUAUAGCUAUGCUCCCCGGCAGCAGCGCCAGAAAAAGGUCUUGAUAACCCACAAGUAUAUGGGAUCGCAACAGUUUUCGAGGUUAGAGUAUUCAACCCAAAUUUAUAGAUUCGACACAAGGGGAGCCAAAGAAUACUUGCAAGUAUUAGCAGCUGAGUUGUCAAUUCAACCACACCUGGAGAUUAAUUAUCUGCAGCAACAUGAUCAGUAGCAAAGUAAUAUGAUAGUUUUGAUAAUAAUAGCGACAGCAAUAGUAACUGUAAUAGUGAUAGUAGUAGUUUUGUAGCAAGUGCAACAGUAACGAUAGCAGUAGUUACUUAGCAAGAAUAAUAUAAGAGAAAUUCAUAGGCAUUGGAUCGGUAAUUUGUUGGAUGAUAUUCAUCAUGUGAUAGUCAUAACCUAGGGCGAUACGGCACUAGCUCCAGUUCAUAAAUAUAAUGUAGGCAUGUAUUCCGUAAAUAGUCAUACGUGCUUAUGGAAAGAACUUGCAUGACAUCUUUUGUCCUACCCUCCCGUGGCAGCGGGGUCCAAUUGGAAACUAAGGGAUAUUAAGGCCUCCUUUUAGAACCGGAACAAAGCAUUAACACACAGUGAAUACAUGAACACUCCUCAAACUACGGUCAUCACCGGGAGUGGUCCCGACUAUUGUCACUCCGGGGUUGCCGGAUCAUAACACGUAGUAGGUGACUAUAACUUGCAAGAUCGGAUCUAGAACAUAGAUAUAAUGAUGAUAACAUAAACGCUUCAGAUCUGAAAUCAUGGCACCCGGGCCCAAAAUGACAAGCAUUAAGCAUGGCAAAGUCAUAGCAACAUCAAUCUCAGAACAUAGUGGAUACUAGGGAUCAGGCCCUAACAAAACUAACUAGAUUACAUGAUGAAUCUCAUCCAACUCCUCACCGACCAGCGAGCCUACGAAGGAAUUACUCACUCCCGGUGGGGGGGGCAUCAUGGAAUUGGCGAUGGAGAAGGGUUGGCGACGACGAAGAUCGAAGACCCCCCUCUCCGGAGCCCUAAACGGACUCCAGAUAUGGCCUCCCGAUGAAGAACAGGAGGUGACGGCAGCUCCGUCUCGUGGAACGCAAUAAUUCUUUCUCCUCGAUUUUUUCUGGAAAAAUGUGAUUUUAUAGCGUCAGUUUCAGGGUCUGCGGGGCCACCAGGUGGGGACAAACCAUCUGGGUGCGCCUGGGGGUGGGGGCAGGCGCGCCCUGGUGGGUUGUGCCCACCCAGGUGCCCCCCUCCGGUGGAUCUUGGCUUCAGAAAUUCUCUUUUAUUGUGUAAAAAAUCCUCGCAAAGUUUCGUUCCAUUCCGAGAACUUUUAUUUCUGCACAAAAACAACACCAUGGUAGUUCUGCUAAAAACAGCGUCAGUCCGGGGUUAGUUUCAUUAAAAUCAUGCAAAUUAGAGUCCAAAACAUGAGAAAAACAUUAGGAAAAGUAGAUACAUUGGAGACGUAUCAGGGACUCCUGAUGAUGCACUAAGAACGGGGGCCUUUAGUACCCCCAGACUUAUGCACGACAAUGACAGCACCCCCGGCAAGGGGGCUUGCUGGAAACCAGCCUGAGAUCAAGGCCGACAAGCUGUAAAGCAAAUUUCCAAAUCAAAGAAGCAACACUUUGAGAAAUCAAGAAGCGCAUCAAGAAGACCAAGAUUAAAAAACGGAACACUCAAAACAGCCCUUGCCGACAAGGCCGAGCCGGCAAGGCGAAGGCCCGGCAAGCUCCGUGGUUAGCAGGCCCCCGCCAACUGCCAGCGCUCCACCUCACCAAAUAGUUGUCGCUGCUCAUUGAGGUGUUGAGCCCGCGGGCGGUUAGGUGGAGCUUACCGGACACGUGUCAGCAUGCCGAAAGGAUUAUCACCUUUAUUGACACCCGUCCAAAUGGCGUAUCAAGAUAAUAGGAGUUAGAUAGGUAAGUGGUGCAAUAUCCUUGCCACGGCUUCUCCUCCUCAUGACACCUAACUAUGCAUUUAAUGCUUCUUGUCCUAACUAGCAGAUUUAGGUAUGAUAGCAUUGUUUGCUAUCUAAUCAUUAUGUAAUUAUUUUUUUGCCUCUGUGGUAACCCAUUUGAGCUAUAAAAGGAGGGCCAAGGCAAUCUUUACAAGGGUUCGAACCCAUUCAAACCCAAAGCACAUUUGCUCGUGUAGCUGCCUUCUCCUAGCACCUUGCCGGGGAAGAGCGCUCCGUGUACUUGUGCUCCACACAUUCUUAAUACACCAAAGCAGGAGUGGGGUGUUACACCUCAAAGGUGGCCCGAACCUUGGCAAAAUCAUUACGCCUUCUACUCUACCCGCUCUUUAUGUUUUGUGCAUUCCCCUCGCCAAACCACAAAGGGGCUAGAUCACCCCAUAGAUAGUCGAUCCACACCGACAUAAGGGCAAGGUAUGUGUGUGUUCAUAAGAUAAAUGUAUGUGCGUCGUGUAUGUAAGCCUGUGCUUCUGUACUGUGUUUAUAUGAGAGAAAAUUGCGCUGCCAUGAUUUUUUGCCUUUGGCCCCUUUCAUAGUCUGGAUUCGUUAGAGAGGCACCCCUUGCAGUCGUUCGAUGCUUUCGAGAGAGGAAAGUGACUCGAGCAAGAAGCGGACAAAAAAAUCUCGGCGAUGGCGGUGAUCGGCGGGCAAGCGAUGGUGACUGCAGCUGAGUCAAAGCAAAAGAUAGCAGUAGGCCCAGCGGUAGUGACUGCCGCCAGGAAUGAGUACCACGGUCAUCUUUGGCGACCGCGUCAAAUCAUUGGAGCUCAUUGCAUCGAUGGCUGGUCGUGCUCGGGAAUGGGUUCGUCGAAGGAGGAGGGGGAGCACCGGCUGGGCACCAUUGAUGCCGCUCAUGUGCACCUACAAUUCACUAUAAUCUGAUGGGGGAUGACAGUUUAUAUUGCUGCGAGCAUGUCAAUUUCCUUCAGCCGCGUGGGAAAUCUUUGUCAUGCUCAUUUGUUUGCCAAAAUUUGCCAUGUUUUCUCAACAAAAUAGCCAUGCUGACUACAACAUAAUUUAUCAUCUCAAGCAUUAAAUUUGUCAUGCUUAAAAAUCUGACGUCAAAUUUUUAACAUUCAUAUUGUUUUUUUUUUCAUCUCCUCAAAGCGUAUCGAUUCACAAACAAACACAUCGAUUCAUCGCGUGAACCAUCCGACAACUGCAUGAGAUCGAGCAGCAGGCUCGGGUACUUUUAUCUGAUUGAUCGAAGCAAGUGUUGUAUGCAGGCAAUUAAACGUUUAAAGGACACAUCUAGCCAGCGCACGGCCGCCUGGCAUACUUAGCGAGCGGCCCGCCACUUUAGGUAAUUUCUUGUCUCCUUUUUUAAUUAGAAUAGUCAUCUAGUAGUCUUUUUUCCUGCUACGUAUUAAAUGUGAGCAUAUGCAUCUCCUCUUGUGCAUGCAUAUGCAUGUGUGUGUUUGUUCUCAUUUAUUUUGUGAUUUUAAAAUUUUAAAAAGGCAUAACUUUCAAUCUGCGUGUCAAAAUUCGGAUCCGUUUUCACCGUUGAAACCCUUGCGACGUGCUCUUUAAAAGUAGAUCCCACAUGAAGAUGUUUCGACGAACUAGUCUUCCUGCCAACUAAACAUCAAUAUGUGUGCAACUAGACUACAUGCCGCGCCAAGUGAGCAUGUGUGUGUGCCAAUAGUCCUUCUGUCAACUAAACAUCGAUGUGUGUGCAACUAGACUACAUUACCGCGUCAACUGAGCAUAUGUGUGUGCCAAUAGUCCUGCCAACUAAACAUCAAUGUGUGUGCAACUAGACUACAUUGCCGUGCCAACUGAGCACAUAUGUGUGUAACUAGUCCUGCCAACUAAAUAUCAAUGUGUGUGCAACUAGUGUCCUGCCAACUAAACAUCAAUAUGUGUGCAACUAGACUAAAUUACAAGCCAACUGAGCAUAUGCGUAUGCAACCAGUCCUUCUGGCAACUAAACAUCAAUGUGUGUGCAACUAGACUAUAUUAUAAGCCAACUAAACAUCAAUAUGUGUACAACUAGACUAAAUUACAAGCCAACUGAUUUUAAAAAACUUGCACCAUGUAGUACUAAAGUUGCAUAAUGCAGUACUUUAAUUGCACCAUAUAGCACCAAAGUUGGCAUCAAAUUUUUUUUGUCAAAACAUAUCUAUGCGGGAUCUAGUUUCAAAGAUCUCGUCGCGAUGAAUUCAACGGUGAAAACGGAACUGAAUUCCGACGUGUGGUUUAAAAGAUAUGGCUUUAAAAGAAUUUGAAAUCCCGAAAUAAAUGUAUGUGGAUCUGUUUUCUCUAAGGCUAGUCAUAGUGGGAGUAACUUAGCUAGUAACAUAACGCACUCCAAGAAAUUUUUGCUUAUGUGGCAUGUACUUAAUGAGAAGUGGUAACAUAUAACAUAGCGCUUCCCAAGACAAGAUGAGUCUACAAGCUAAUUAAUGAAGUCCUACAUGACACUACUACUAUGUUACUUUGCACUACGAAAUUGCUAUGCGUACGAUGAAUUGUGUGUACGACUUUGUACGACUUGAUCUCACUCGUCCGGCCAGUUGAUCAAACGGCUGCUGAGGACUGUCGUGGGAAAAAUCGUAUAAAUUCGUCGUACGUGUAGCAGUUCUCUUUGCACUAUGAAGGUAGUAACUUAGACUAGUGUCAUAUGCAUGACACUAGUAUAAGUUACUCACCACUAUGACCAGCCUAACUCAUGAUACUAGUGUGAACACAUUCAAUGCCAGCAUCUACAUGCGCUACAAGACAAAAAUAAAUACACAUGCAUGUGUAUGGUAGAGCGGCCGUUGGCGUGCGUACGCACUUUUUAGAUUGAGAGAUGCUAUACACACGACAGUCUCGACACGAUUUUCGGACCAUCUCAUCAAGUCGUUCGUGGGUACUGCCGUCCAUGUAGUACUUUUCUUCUGCUAGUAGUACCUGUAGUGUCUGUGUUGUUUGCAUGCUAGCUGAUGUUGACGUGCGUCAGUGGUCCUGUUUGGAUACUCUAACUCGGUUAGAGGUUAGAGUUAGAUUUUAACCCUGAACUAACUUUGAACUAACUCUAACCAAAGAGAUGUUUGGAUGACAGGGUUAGAUUGAUAAUAAAUGCUCUUUCUUAAUCAUGACUACUUUAGGCGAGCCCCGACUGAGAGCUGUGCUGGUGGCAGACGGGGACGCGCCCGGCAAGGAGCCGCGCUGGCUUAUCACGCAGCCCGCCGGCCGAAUCCGCCGUCCCGACACAAGGAGCCGCGUUGGCCGAGGCCGACGGGGACGGGCCGCGCAAGGAGCCGCGACUGCUUACCGGCGGGCGGACGGGCUGCGGGGAGACGAGGGGGUUGGAACGGGAGGAUAGGGUGGGGCUGCUUAUCGGCGGCGGACGGGAGUGCGGAUACGGCAAGGCGCCUUCACGGGCAGUGCGAGAGGGAGGGAGGGAGAGGACGAGAAGCUUCGAGGAAGUGGGGAGGGAUCUGCUGCGAGAAGAGCGGGAGAAUUUUUUUUUAAUGGUCCCUAGGAGAACUAACCCAAAUAAGCACCUCUUGGAUGGGUUAAUUUUUUUAGAUGGGUUAGAUGCAUCUAACCCAAACUAACCCUUCCUAUUUGAAUGUUUUUGGGUUAGUUGAGUCCAAACUAACCCAAACUAACUCUAACUCUGGGAUUCAAACAGGGCCAGUGUCUAUUUAGAUCUAGGGUACAGCGGUCCCGAGCCAUGGCAUGAUUUUUUUAUGCAUCCGUCUGCCUAGCUUUCUUUGUAACAACAGUUCUAUUGCGUGAAAUAAAUGUCGAUUUGCUAAAUCGUAGUCGAGUAUAAUACAUAUUGUCACAAUACAAUAAUAUAAUCUUGAGAAAUUGUGUGCAGAAUCCCGUCAUAGUCUUGCUACAUCUUAGUAUUUUUUUUAAUACUUGCUACAUUUUAGUCGACUGAGGCAUGGUUAAGUCUUAGUCGAUGUAAUAUUUGUGAGAUUGUACAUCAAGAUCCGUGCAAUUUUUUCUUUUUUUUCUUGCAGGUUAUGUUAUUUGACUGUCAUCACCUGUUGCAAACUCCUGGGCAUGCAACCCCUCUGAAAAUACAAAAUACUUUGUACUAUGAACUUGCCACUAAUUAUCCAACAAGUUAAUACAUAUUGUCACAAUACAUUCAAAUACUUUGAAAGGUAAAGGAGAUAAUUGUAAGGAUUAUGAGUAGCACGAUAAUAUAAUCAAGAGAAAUUGUGUGCAGAACCCCGCCAUAGUCUUGCUACUCAGACUUGAGAUCGUACAUCGAGUUCCGCGCAAUUUUUUCUUUGGUUUUUUUCUUUCCUACAGGUUAUGUCACUUGACUGCCGUGAGAGACCUAUCCACACCUUUUGCAAACUCCUGGGCAUGCAACCGCGUUGAAUAAUACAAAAUACUUUGUACUAUGAACUUGCCACUAAUUAUCUAACAAGAUAAUGCUAUUUUGGGACUAUUUGUUGAGAUUAUGACAAUGUUUAGAUCAAGUUCAAUCUGUUGUCUAAUUUUUCACAAAAAAUUGAACUCUGACACCCUCGUGUUGAGAUCCUAGGCCCGUAGCGGCUCAUAGGCGGCCACUUCCCUUCCCGUUCCCUCGUUGUGUGAGUGAAGAACACACUAGGCAGCAAUUUCCCGAAGUCUACAGGCUCAUGGCGGAUGAACAUGCUCUGUCCCAGCGUGUCCUAGUUGAGCACUUGAGAGCUCUGAUGACAUUAAGCCAAUCAGUUCUCAAGAUGGCAGGCAUCCUAAACCCAUUCUGAUGCAAGUUUUGAGUACUUGGCAACGGGCCGAUCCUCCAGCUCGCUAAGGAUCAGCAACACGUCGUAUUCAACACCAGAGGACAAUCCAUUUCCGUCGGUGAUGAUAACUAGAUGGUAUCCCGCGCGUUGCUGCGGGAAUUUUGUAGCAAUGUGGACAUACCGUGGGAUAAUUCAGUCGCUAAGAGCAACUCCAAAGGGCCGACCCAUUUCGUCCGCCUGCGUCCGUUUGGGUCGGCGCGGACAAAAGUGGCGGCCCAACGCGCCGACCCAAACCCAAAUCACGUCCGCGUCGCGUCCGCGCCGAUGCAUUUGCGGCCCAAAUUUGCGCCCCAAGUGCGUCGGCGCGGACGCCGAACGGACGCUUCGCACGCCUUCUCGCUAUCCGCUGCGUCCCCACAUGGUGGCCGUCCAACUACCCGCUGCCCACGCGGUCAGCUUAAUUUAUGACGAGGGCCCACGCGUGAGCGACGGCGCUCGUCCUUUUUUAAGCCGACCGUGCGGCGGGGCCGUCCUCAUCCAAACUCGCCGUCCACAUCUGCCAUCCUUUGCUCCCUCGUCGCCGGCAAACCCUAACCACCACAACCACAGCGAGAUGGGCCUCUUCUCCGGCGCCCGCGGCAGCAAGGCCAAGGGCAAGUCCCCCGCCAUCCCUUUCCCCUCAGAGUUCCUCCCACCUCCGCCGGCGUCGGUGCCUCGCCGGCAGAGGCAGCGCGUGAACGUGCCAGUGCACCAGGCGGAGUGGCACUGGCAGCACCGCCAGCCUCUGCCGUAUCCCGAUGUGACGCUGCCGCACGACUGGCAUCUGGAUCCAGAUAGGAUCCCAGUGCUGGCGGUGCCGCGGACGGCUCGUGCUCACGCGGAGGAGGUGCGGCGCCGGCGGGCGCUGCUGACGCCGGAGCAGCGCCGCGACCAGGCCUACACAACCGACUCGCCCAACUGGGCGAGGUGGUUCGCCUUCGAACACGAGGAGGCAAGGCGACGGGGCGUGCGCGAGGUCGACCGGAGGUCGCCGCCACCGGCGCUCGUCGUCCGCGAGGAGGACCAGGCGGCCCUUGCGACCGUCUACCGGGAGAGCGAGGAGGACGAGCGGCGCAGAGCGGAGGCGGCAGAGGCGGAAGAGGAGGCUCGGUACAUGGUGUUGGAAAUAUGCCCUAGAGGCAAUAAUAAAUAGGUUAUUAUUAUAUUUCCUUGUUCAUGAUAAUUGUUUAUUAUCCAUGCUAGAAUUGUAUUGAUAGGAAACUCAGAUACAUGUGUGGAUACAUAGACAACACCAUGUCCCUAGUAAGCCUCUAGUUGACUAGCUCGUUGAUCAAUAGAUGAUUGCGGUUUCCUGACCAUGGACAUUGGAUGUCGUUGAUAACGGGAUCACAUCAUUAGGAGAAUGAUGUGAUGGACAAGACCCAAUCCUAAGCCCUGGCGCCUCCCUCUCCUUCCCGUGACACCUCUUCCUCCCCGCUUGCGCUCGGCGAAGCCCUGCCGGGAUCCCGCUACUUCCACCACCACGCCGUCGUGCUGCUGGAUCUCCAUCAACCUCUCCUCCCCCCUUGCUGGAUCAAGAAGGAGGAGACGUCGCUGCUCCGUACGUGUGUUGAACGCGGAGGUGCCGUCCGUUCGGCGCUAGGAUCAUCGGUGAUUUGGAUCACCACGAGUACGACUCCAUCAACCCCGUUCUCUUGAACGCUUCCGCUCGCGAUCUACAAGGGUAUGUAGAUGCACUCCCCUUCCCCUCGUUGCUAGAUUACUCCAUAGAUUGAUCUUGGUGAUGCGUAGAAAAUUUUGAAUUUCCGCUACGUUCCCCAACACAUGGUGCCGCCGGUGGCUCCGCCGUCCCCCAUCAAGCCGGAGCCCGAGCCCAUCGCGCGCUUCUCCUGGACGGGAGUGGUGCGCGAGUGGGUGUCCGCGCCACCAGUUUGGAUGGGGGCGACGCCGGCGCAGGAGCAGGCGUACCUCGAGAUGUGGCGCCAGCGCCGGCUGGCAGAGGAGCGCCGUCGCGGCGAGUACGAGGAGAUGCUCGAGCGCGACCUCGAGGAGGAGCAGCGCGAGGCCGAGGAGGAGGCGCGCCAGGCCGCGGCUGCACAGGCNNNNNNNNNNNNNNNNNNNNNNNNNNNNNNNNNNNNNNNNNNNNNNNNNNNNNNNNNNNNNNNNNNNNNNNNNNNNNNNNNNNNNNNNNNNNNNNNNNNNNNNNNNNNNNNNNNNNNNNNNNNNNNNNNNNNNNNNNNNNNNNNNNNNNNNNNNNNNNNNNNNNNNNNNNNNNNNNNNNNNNNNNNNNNNNNNNNNNNNNNNNNNNNNNNNNNNNNNNNNNNNNNNNNNNNNNNNNNNNNNNNNNNNNNNNNNNNNNNNNNNNNNNNNNNNNNNNNNNNNNNNNNNNNNNNNNNNNNNNNNNNNNNNNNNNNNNNNCCAACAUGACGGCGCUCUGGAACACGGCGUUCGCCUGGGCCGGGCCGGCGCCGACGCUCAUCGACCUCACGGACCCCGAGGACGACGACGACGACGCCUAGGGCAGCGCGCCACCUCGUAGUUUAGGCUGUUUUUUAUUUUUUUAAAUGCAAAUGUGGACGCGUGGACUCUCGCCGGCCUUCGUGGCCGGCUUUAAUGUUUAAUUAAUGUUGUUUCUCUUUUUUUAUUAUGCAUGCGUUCAUUUUUUUUACGCCGUCAAAAUGGGUUCAGGCCAGCGUUGGGCGCACGCGCCGACCCAAAUGCGGAAGCGGGCGUCCGUGUCCGUCUGGCCGACCCAAACGGACAAAAAGCGGACGAAAUCGCCGUUUAUUUGGGUCGGCCCGUUGGAGUUGCUCUAACAGCGUAACAAAUACAAAAAGACAGAUCAAAGUGAUUACCCUAUAGAUAGGAACAACAUAUUACGGAUUUGGUAUGCCACAGUUGCAAGUAGAAACUAACCAAAUAGUACUAAUGAGUCUUUUCUAGAUUACAAACAAAUGCAGCCACAUUACUGAUAACCAUUCUAAAUUUAGGCAACAUAAUUACUACUUUUAGGUGGAAGUCAUAGUCUAGUUUGUAAAAAGCUACAUGCAUGGUUAACGUUGUACCAUGUGAGGUCGUCUCAUAAGGAAAUUCUAAAAGAAAUAAAAGAGAACACUUCAACUUGUAUAUGUGAGCUGCAUAUGAAACAUUCAGAUAGGUCCAUAACAUCAUGCCUCUAUAAUAAGAGAAAGAAAUGUGGACAAAAAGUAGGUUGAUGAAUAUGAGCAGAAAAUGUUUUUUUUUCUAUUUUGCUGCUGUCAAAAGAUAUAACAUCCAUUACUUUUUACCCUCAUAAUGUAACUAAAAAUAGAUGUGUGAACUGAUUUGACAGAAUCUGUAGAUAUAAAAUCACAUGAAUCAGAAACAAAGGCCCAGUAUACAAUCUUGUAUAGGUAGCCCAGACUCAAGGGCCGUGACCCUCUACUUCUUUCUCUCCAUACAGAAAAGAAAUACUGUUCGGCUCAUUCUCUCUCUCUUGUAUGACAUUGAACAAAUACAUCCAUUCUUUCAUGUGCGUGGGUGUGCAUACAUGAUGCUCAUUCUCGAUAUGUCAUUGGCAUCCAAAUUUGACGAACGGACAGUGUUGCGCCAGACAGUUGCACAUGCCAACGUGGAUCUGCCCUCUAAUCACUUGUACAAACAUUCUAAACUCUGUCUAGCUAGGAGCCCAGGACAACAAACAAAGAACUGAGGGAAGAAGUUCCAGAGAGAGGAGCAGGAAGGAGAAGACAUGGUCGCUGUGAGGAGGGCAGUUUCCAUCCACUGCUGGGGUGGGAUUGAUGGUGGGCAUCAGAUCCAGCCUGUCUACAGAUUCGAACUCGCGACCAUCGCCUUCGUGAAUGGGUACUCCUAACCACGCUACCUGUCUCCUACAUGUGAUCAAAGCCAACCGCAGAGGCUAUAUGAACACACAAAACCGAAGCUUUUUUUAAUACGCCGAAAUUUUUGAAUGUUUACAAAGUUUAGAAUGUUUCACUGAAAAUUGUGAACAUUUUUUACAAUACAGAAUUUCUUUUAGGUUCUGUGAACAAUUUUUGAAAAAGAAACAUUUUACAAAAUUCCAAAAUAAAAUUUGAAAAGGCGAACAGUUUUUGAAAUCUAUGAAUUGUUUUUCAUACACAAAUAUUUUUUGAAUCUGUGGACCUUUUAAAUGAGAGAAUUUUAGAAAAUAUGAAUAAUCUUCAAAAAUUUGGAGCACAUUUUGAAUAUGUUGAGCAUUUUUUAAAUUUAUGAAUUUUCAAAACGAAACAGAAAAUAAAAAAGGAAACAAAAGAGCAAAAAAUAGUAACCAAACGAAAACCAAAAUAAAUAAGAAAAAAAGUUUAGGAACCUUCUAGAAGGCUCACAAAACCAGCCAGGAACCUUCCAGAAGAUUCACAAUACCAGUUGCUCAAAUAAUCAGAUGGGCCUGCCCAUUAUGCGAUUGCCCGACUAUUUACCGCGGCAGGCGGUAAAUAGGAAAUUCUGUAUCUUAGGGAAGUAGCGUCAAAUAGACUGUGCCACGCAUAGGAGGCCGCCCGACUGGAACGACUCAUUGUCGCGCCCUAGAACAAGAAAAAUCAUCGAAAAAAGAACGACAAUACAGAAUUUCUUUUAGGUUCUGUGAACAAUUUUUGAAAAAGAAACAUUUUACAAAAUUCCAAAAUAAAAUUUGAAAAGGCGAACAGUUUUUGAAAUCUAUGAAUUGUUUUUCAUACACAAAUAUUUUUUGAAUCUGUGGACCUUUUAAAUGAGAGAAUUUUAGAAAAUAUGAAUAAUCUUCAAAAAUUUGGAGCACAUUUUGAAUAUGUUGAGCAUUUUUUAAAUUUAUGAAUUUUCAAAACGAAACAGAAAAUAAAAAAGGAAACAAAAGAGCAAAAAAUAGUAACCAAACGAAAACCAAAAUAAAUAAGAAAAAAGUUUAGGAACCUUCUAGAAGGCUCACAAAACCAGCCAGGAACCUUCCAGAAGAUUCACAAUACCGGUUGCUCAAAUAAUCAGAUGGGCCUGCCCAUUAUGCGAUUGCCCGACUAUUUACCGCGGCAGGCGGUAAAUAGGAAAUUCUGUAUCUUAGGGAAGUAGCGUCAAAUAGACUGUGCCACGCAUAGGAGGCCGCCCGACUGGAACGACUCAUUGUCGCGCCCUAGAACAAGAAAAAUCAUCGAAAAAAGAACGACAAUGCGAGGUAUCGAACGUUGUAACUUCCGCUGCUAACCACUCACCGCUAGCCACACGAGCUGAUGGGCUUCAAUAUCUUACUAGGAAACACGAACUAUAACUACUAUGCAUCAGCGCCCGGUUUACUGUAGCGACCCAGUAUUUUUUCCCACUAUUUCUUUUCAUUUUUUUCUAUUCACUAUUUGUUUCUUUUUCAUAUUUUCAUUUUUCCUUUUUUGUUUCUUCUUCCUUUUCAACAAAUGCUCGUGCGUUUAAAAUUUGAUCAAGAUUUCAAAAAAUGUUUGUUUUUAAAAACAUAAAGUACAAAUAUUCACAUUUUAUAAAGUUGUACAAAACUUUCAAAAAAAAUGUUUGUGUCUUUCAAAAUUGCUUAGAAUUCUAAAAUAAGAACAUUAUUUAAAAAGAGCGAACAAAAUUUUGAAAGCACGUUGUUUUUCGGCAUUCCUCAACUGAGCCCAAUUUUUCAAUGACUUCUAUGACCAAUUCAAGACACCAUGCCAAGUUGUUUCGGUUUUCAACAAAUUUUGCAUUUUCUGGAGUUUACUCGGGGAAAAUGGCGGGACGUGUCGCAACUUGCAUACGACGAUGAAAAUUGUUCCAACCUGGCAUGGGUGCCUAUCAUGGGCAUGCCAACCCGCUCCCAAAAGUUGGGGUCAUUUGAGGAAUGUUCAAAAAUAGAUCACGUUCAACGGAGGGUGUACAGAUAGGACAGAAUACUCCUCUAAGAGCAUGUUGUUUCUUGAUAUCCUUGAAAUGGCCCCAAUUAUUUUCAUGGCCUUGUAUGACUAAUUCAAAGCACCAUGCCAAGUUAUUUGCGUUUUCGACAAGUUUUCCCAUUUUCUGGAGUUUUCUCGGCAAAAAAAGAUUGAUAAAUGGCCGGACAUGUCGUAACGUGCAUACGAUGUGGGAAGUCAUUUAAAUCUGGCAUGGAUGCCUUCCAUGGCCAUGCCCACUUGGUGACAAAACUUGGGAUAAUUUUUAAGGAUGUAAAAAAACACGAUGUUCAAUGUAUAAUGUCCGAAUAGGCUAGAAGGCUCCAUUUGAGAGCACUUUUUUUUUCUGACAUCCGUCAAAUAGCCCUAAGUUUUGACAAGUUUUGUAUUUUCUGGAGUUUUCUCGGUUAGAAAAAGGCUGAUAAAUGGUCGAACAUGUUGCAAUGUGUAUACGGUGCCGGAAGUCAUUCAAAUCAGGCAUGUAUGCCUAACAUGUGCAUCCCCACCUGCUUGCAAACGAUGGGAUCCGAACUAGGUUUCCAAAAAAACACCAUGUUCAACGGAGAGUGUUCAGGUCUGUUUGGGAAGACCUAGUUUCUCGACAUUCCUUAAAGGUCUUCAAUUUUUUUUCAUGGCCUUGUAUGACCAAUUUAAUGCACCAAGCCCAAGUUAUUUGAGUUUUCGACAAAUUUUACAUUUUCUUGGUUAAAAAAUACCGAUAAAUUGUAGACAUGUCGCAACUUGCAUACGGUGUUGAAAGUCGUUCAAGCAUGAAAUGCCUACCAUGGGCAUGCUCACCUGCUAGCAAAAGUCGGGGUGAUUUCAAGCAUGUCUUUCCUGGGACCGUGAGAUCUUGAAGGGACCAAAACGAAGAAUUAAUAAAUUAAAAACAGAGUUAGAGAAAUUGAAACGUGGCCCUAUGAAUACAGAUUCCCUUUCUAGGCAGAAAGAAAUUGUAGUUCUCAUUGAGAAUCUGUUGGAUCAGGAAGAGAUUUUUUGGUUACAAAGAGGUAGAGCAAAUUGGUUGAUGCACGGAGACCGAAAUACUUCCUUCUUCCAUAAUGCAGCUACUGCUAGGAAAAAGAGAAAUGAUAUUAAAAAACUUCUCGAUGAUACUGGGGUUUGGCGACAAGAUACGGAAUUGAAGGAUCAUAUCACAUAAUAUUUUUAAAAGCUUUUUACCUCAUAGAUCGAGCAACCUAAUCAGGAUGUGUUAUCACUGGUAAAGAGGAGAGUAUCUACUGAGAUGAACAAUGCCCUCCUUUCUCCGUAUACGGCUGAUGAUGUUCGUAAAGCCUUGUUCGACAUUGGGGAUUUGAAAGCCCCAGGGCCCGAUGGGCUCCAUGCUAUUUUCUAUAAAAGGUUUUGGCCAAUGUUAGGAGAUGAUCUGAUCGAGGAGGUUUUGAAAGCAGUAAACACUUGUACUAUCCCAUCUGGUUGGAAUGAUACUGCGAUUGUGAUGAUACCAAAAGUCAACUCUCCGGAGAAGGUAACCCAGUUUAGACCAAUUAGUCUGUGCAAUGUGGUGUAUAAAAUUAUUGCAAAAAUGAUUGCCUCUCACCUAAAGGUGUUCCUACCAGAUAUUAUUAGCCCAACCCAAAGCGCGUUUGUGCCUGGAAGACUUAUUACGGACAACGUAUUGGUGGCAUACGAAUGCUUCCACACCAUCAAGAAAAAGAGAGCAGGCAAAGAAGGAUUAUGUGCGAUAAAAUUGGAUAUGCAUAAAGCUUAUGACCGGGUUGAAUGGCCUUUUCUCAAGAGAUUAUGCUCAAACUUGGAUUUCUUGAGGUGUGGGUAAAUUUUAUCAUGGAGUGAGUUUCUACUGUUGAAUAUCAUAUUCGGUUUAAUGCGGAGGAAAGUGAAAGUUUUAAACCUACUAGGGGUCUGAAGCAAGGAGACCCGCUGUCUCCUUACUUGUUCCUGUUAUGCACGGAGGGUCUCACAGCUUUACUAACGCAUGCGGAAGAAAAUGAGAAUAUUUCAGGAGUAAAGAUUUGCAGAGAUGCCCCAUCUGUCACGAACCUUCUUUUUGCUGAUGACUCUUUAAUCCUUAUGAAAGCAAAUUUGCAAAGUGCGGAAACAUUAAAAUCAGUUCUAGAUUCGUAUUGCGCAGCUUCAGGGCAGAUGGUCAGUGUCGACAAAUCCAGCAUCUUCUUUAGCCCUAAUAUAGGAGUGGACACUAGAGAACAAAUGUGUACAAUUCUCAAUAUAAUGACUGAGGCCUUGAAUGACAAAUAUUUAGGACUGCCGGCCAAUGUGGGUUUAGAUAAAACCGAUUGUUUUCAAUACUUAAUCCAUCGUAUUGUUCAGAGAAUUAGUGGUUGGAAGGAAAAACACAUGUCGGCUGGAGGAAAGGAGAUCUUACUUAAAGCGGUUGUUCAAGCUAUUCCCACCUAUGCAAUGUCGGUCUUUAAAAUUCCUAAAAAAAAUUACAAAGGAAUUAUUGACGCGAUGGCGCAUUUCUGGUGGGGAGAUGAGGAUAACCAAAGGAGGAUGCAUUGGAUGGCUUGGUGGAAAAUGUGUGUACCCAAGAACCAAGGAGGAAUGGGUUUUCGGGAUAUCCAUUGUUUCAAUUUGGCUAUGCUUGCUAAACAGGCUUGGCGUCUUAUCGAGAAUCCAGAUUCUCUAUGUGCUACUAUUUUGAGAGUCAAAUACUAUCCUGACGGUGACUUGUUGAACACUGACCUGAAGAAGGGUUCUUCCUUCACCUGGCAAAGUAUUAUGUUGGGUGUGGGCUCCCUGAAGCGUGGUCAUAUAUGGCGAGUGGGAAAUGGGCAGAAUAUUGACAUUUGGGAGGACGCCUGGAUUCCAAAUUGUGCAAACCGUAAAAUUGUUACCCCUAAGGGAGGCCAGUUGUUAAGGAAGGUAGCAGAUUUAAUUGAUCCAAUCCUAAAUAGUUGGGAUGAAGAUCUUCUCAGACAGACUCUAUGGCCUAUUGAUGUUCAGCGAGUGCUUGCGAUCCCGAUAUCGCAACAUGAUAUGCCAGAUUUCGUAGCUUGGAAUUUCACAAAAAAUGGGAUCUUUUCGGUUCGGUUUGCUUAUUUUGUGGAAUGGGACCACCAAUAUGGGAACAAGUUACGACAUACCAAUGGGAUGGGACGUACCAAGGUCAAUCCUAUUUGGGCUAGGAUUUGGAAACUUGCUUGUCCAGCAAAGGUUAAAAUAUUUAUUUGGCGUACACUUCACAGCACUCUUCCGUGUCGUGUUAACUUAGCUAAUAGACAUGUGAAAGUCUCGCCUGAGUGUCCUGCCUGCUCAUCUGGGCCAGAAGACAUAAAACAUCUGUUGUUUCUAUGUGAUAGAGCAAAAGAAGUCUGGGGAAGACUAGGGAUGGACGAUAUUAUCGACAGAGCUUGUAAAAUAGACUAUGCGGGUGAGGCAAUCUUGGAAUAUUUACUUUCAUUAACAGAUCAGGAACUAUGUAUUAUGAGCACUCGUAAUGUGCGUGAUAUGAUUGCCAUAUCAGCCUCGUACUUGUGGUGGGAAAGGCGCAAAUUGGUACACAAUGAGACUACUCAGAAUGCACAACAGAUAUCCAUGGGGAUACGCGCUCUCACUGCCAAUUUUGUUAAUGCCUCCUCGCCGAAGGCUUCCAUGAAAAGAGGAGGAUGGUCUAGCCCCCCGAUGGGAUUUGUUAAACUUAACAUUGAUGCUUCUUUUGACCACGACCUUCUCAGGGGUACGAUCGGGGCGGUCUUAUGAGAUGACAAAGGUAGGUUCAUCGGUGGGCGAAAUGGUAAGAUUGACUGGUGUGCAGAUGUGUUGAUGGCUGAAGCUUUGGCGUUAAAGUUUGGCCUAUCGCUUGCGCAAAGGACGGGUUGUAACCGCAUAAUUAUUAACUCGGAUAAUAUGGAGGUGAUCGAGACCAUGAACAAAGGAGGAUGAUCGUCGGGGGCAGCAGCUGCAAUUUUUUAUGACUGUUUUCACUUAGCUUGCGAUUUUCCUAUUUCUAGAUUCGAGCAUUGUAAUAGAGAAGCAAAUAAUGUUGCUCAUGAACUUGCCAAGUUGGCUAGAUUUUCCUUCAUUUCUGAUUGGCUUGAGGAACCACAUAAUGCAAUUGUACCAAUCCUCAUAAACGAUGUAAUGAUUAUUUCUAAUGAAUGAAGCUCGAACUUUCUUAAAAAAUAGUAUUUGGAUAGACCAAAAGGGUCCAUUUGAAAGCAAGCUGGGUUUCGACAUCCGUCGAAUGGCCCCAAUUUUUUUCCACCAGCUUCUGUAACCAAUUCAAGACAUCAUGUCAAGUUGUUUGGAUUUUUGACAAGUUUUGUAUUUUCUGGAGUUUUCUCGAUCAAAAAGGACCGAUAAAUGGUCAGACGUGUCACAUCCAAACCAGACAUGGAUGCCUCAUAUGUCCGUGCCAGGGUAAUGCAAGAAGUUUGGGUCAUUUAUCCAUAGUCCAAAAAACCCUCCAGGUCGGGUGCAUCCAUGAGCAUGUAGUUUUUUUUUCCUAAUUUUAAUGCUUUUGUUGUUUGCAAUUUCUAUCAUUAUCAAUAACUAAAUGUAUAUGGAAAUUUUACAAAGUUGAACACUUAGUCCAAAACAAAUUAUGAAUAAUGAUAGUUUUUUUAAUCUAGAGAAUCCUUUAAAAUUGUAAACAAUAUUUGAAAAUAAGAACAAUCGUUUGGUAUUCCAAUCUUUUUUCAAAAGUUUGAACAAGUUUUGAAAAUAAUAAUAAUGUUAAAAAAGGAGAAAAAUGAAUUAACAAAAAAACAAAAAUUAGAAAAGAAAAAAAAUAUUAAGCCUUGGCCCAACUAGGCGACGACAUCACUCCCGUUGGGCACGUGUUGGGCGGAAAUCCUAUUUGACAUUGUUGCGUUGAACAGUGGUUGUUUCUCAUAGACCCGAACGAGUGAACAUGGGUCAACCCAUUUCAAUCUGAUUGUUGCCUCUACAGAUGCGGGUUUUGGGAACCUUCUAGAUGGUUCCAGGUCGGUGUUUACCGGUUUCGAUACCUUCUAGAAGGUUCAUGAAUCCCUUUUUUGUCUUUCUUUUUUCUUAUUUUCUUUUUCAAAAUUGCAAGGUUUAAAAAAUGUUACAUAUUUAUUUAAUUUCAUAUUUCUCAAAACACGUUUUCAGUAAAGUUUGGAGUUUCAAAAAAAUGUGUUUUGAAAAGUUGUUUAGAAUUUAUUUAUUUUUCUCAAUUUUCAUUUUUUUAGAGUUUCAAAAUGUAUUCCACAUCUCAAAAAAAUGUUUGCAUUUGUUUCACACUUAAAAAAGUCACAUUCAAAAUUCCUAUAAACGCUUAAAUUUGUUCGCGUUUAAAAAAAGUCUCGUUCAAAAUUUCUAAAAGUGUUUAAAUCUGUCGCUGUUCAUACUACCUUCGUUCGGGAUUUGAAGGCCAGCGAGCCCAAGCGACGCCUCGUAGAGAAAGCCUCGCCUUUCCUGAGUGGCCUAACUAACCGGACGGAGGCAAUAGUUCUUAACAAACCGCGCUGCAAAUUAUGCAAGAUAGCUUGCUUGGUCUAGCGGUUCAUUGCGUUACCUGAGAGCAGUAGGUCAUGUGUUCGAGACUUGUUUUUGGAUUUUCCAUUGUUUCAUCUUUACAGAUACUGUUCACUAGUGGGCCGGCCCAGUUGACCUCACAUGUACGCUGGGCCGUGUACGGGCAGUACAUACCUGACGCGCGUAUACCGCUAAAAAAAUAUGAUGCGUAUCGGCGCGGGCGAUACUUGUUGCAAAAAGACUAUCCUACCAUUUAUUAUGAAAGAGGUAUCGAGAGAUCUCCUCCAUUAAUGUAUUCAGAGGUUGUAUCAAAGCAGAAGUGAAAUAUGAAUAGCUGGCAUGAUCUUCAUUCCCCGCCAAUCAGGGCAUGUACAUUAGCUUAGACACCCUAGUCUGUAAUAAUCAUCCACGUCACAUAUAGAUAGCAGUCAAAACAUCAUCUACAUCGGUAUGUCUUUUUGCUAUCUGUAGCAUGUUUGGACGUGGGCAGGUCGUUGCAUGUGAGCCACCGUGUUCGUGCACUCACUACUAGAAAAAGGGUUAUAAAUGAAAUGGCCACUAAUGGCGCACCAAACUGUGGUGCGCCACUACUAUAUAGCAGUGGCGCAUCAUGUGCUGGUGCGCUAUUAGUGUGAAAGACACACGGUGCGCCACUAGUAACAAUUUUUUUUUCCAAACAUACUAAUGGCGCACCAGGGCACAGUGCGCGCCACUACUAUAAUUUUUUUUUCAAAACUAUUAAUGACCAGGGUUACUAAUGGCGCAUUUGUAGGUGGUGCGACAUUAGUAACCUGGGACCAACUAGAUAUUUUGGACAGCCACACCUACCCACUCACUUUUCCCACUUCAUUCUCUCCAUCUCCUCCUCCAAGCUUGUCUCGGCUGCCUCCUCCUCCUCACCUCAUUUGCACCAUAAAUUCAUCCAAAUUAAGUGGUUAAAUUACCUUUUUUUGAUAGGUAAGUAAGGGGAAGCUAUCUUUACGUUGUUCUCCCUCCAACAACGUGCACACGCACUUUUUAUGGCCUAGCUAGAUCUAUGUAUGUUCGUGGUGUUGCAUAUAUGUUUGUGUUUGCAGGUACCGGUAUUUGAAAUGCGAUAGUUGCCAAUAUUUUGCCGGAAUGUUGAUUCAUUUCCGUUUCGGCGAGAAUUUUGGCACUAUGCAUUCUUUUUUGUCCUAUUUUUAGGGAAAGUCAUGCCAAAUUUUUUCUUGGUUCUAAAAUAUCGUUUUGCUCUACCCCGCAGGCGACCAUGGUCCGCACGAUGACCGAAGGCAUCGUGAAUAGGUUUUUGAGCUCCGCGAAGGCCGAGAUGCUUGAAAAGAACGAGACGGAGAUAAGAUGUCCGUGUCGAAGAUGCAAGCUGAAGAGCCUUAUUGCGGACCCGGAUUCCGGGCAGAUGCGGGACCACCUGCUCUUGCGUGGUUUCAUGGAUGGCUAUCGGUGGCAAGGUGAUGAAGAUGACUAUGAAGUCGUCCAUGGGGGCUGGGCAAGAAAUGAGGAAGGGCAGCAAGACAACCACCGCGGCUCGGGCGGGCAAGAAGACGAAGAAUCUCCAGGACAUGAUCACGACGGUGAUGCUGUACACAGUCAUCAUGUAGAAGAUGCCGGACAUGAUGAUGAGGAAGAUGCCGGAGCAGACGAAGGGCAUGAUCAUGAAGAUGAAGAUGCCGGCGGAGCAGACGACGAUGGACCAUCGAUGGGCUGGGUGCAGGACCCUCAUAUUCAAGAGCUACUUCUCAAGCAGACGGAUAACGCAAGAGCUGCCGCCCGAGAGAAAGCCAAGCUAGAUCAACUGGAGAUAGACGCGGUUACUCCAUUGUAUGAAGGAUGCAGGCCCAAGGAUACCCGCCUGAAAGUAACGCUCAUGGCUCUGGAGAUGAAGGUAAAACACAAAAUGACCGACGCAUGCUUCGACGAGAACAUGUCAUUGUAGCACGAACGUCUUCCCAAGGGGAACAAGUGCCCGACCAGUUUCGAGGAGGCGAAGAAAAUUGUGUGUCCUCUGGAUUUACCGCACGUGAAAUACCAUGUGUGCAUGAACAAUUGCAUCAUUUAUCGGGACGAGCACGCGGAGUCUACCAUAUGUCCGGUGUGCGGCGUCACUCGAUACAAGAAGAGGAAGAAAGCUCCUCGAAAAGUGGUGUGGUACUUUCCGAUCACUCCUCGUCUGCAGCGGUAUUUCGCGGACCCUAAGGUAGCAAAGCUCCUGCGUUGGCACGCGGAUAGGGAGGAGAAGAAGCGAGAAGAUGACGCAAAUGAUCCGGAGAUAAAUAAAAAAGACAAGAUGUUGAGUCACCCUGGCAAGCGUUGAACUUCGAACACCCAGAAUUUGGGAAGGAUCCAAGGAACAUCGUGCUGGGCGCGAGCAGUGAUGGAGUCAAUCCGUUUGGUAGCCAGAGAAGCACACAUAGCACCUGGCUUGUGUUUGUGUGGAUGUACAACCUUUCCCCCUCGUUGUGCAUGAAGAGGAAGUACAUUCACAUGAGUAUGCUAAUUGAAGGGCCGAAACAACCAGGGAACGACAUCAAUCUGUAUCUGGGGCUGCUGAAAGAGGAGCUAGACACGCUGUGGAAAACGCCAGCCAAUACGUGGGACGCCGCAAAGAAAGAAUAUUUCCCUAUGAGAGUCGCACUGCUCACGACGGUGCACGACUAUCUCGGUUACGGAUAUCUCGCGGGGCAGGUGGUCCACGGAUUUUCUGGAUGCGUCAGGUGCAUGGAUGACACAACGUAUCGCCAGCUAGAUAGAGAUCCCGGGUCUUCGAAAACCGUGUUCAUGGGACAUCGAAGGUGGCUUCGCGAUGAUGACCCGUGGAGGAAACGCAAGGAUCUGUUCGAUGGUGAAACCGAACCCCGAAGACGCCCGCGUACGAGGAGCGGCGAGGAAAUAGACGAGCUGUUGAAAAAUUGGAAAGAUUGCCCACUGCCGGGAAAGAAGCAAAAGGCGCUAGAGCCGGGAAAGAAGCGAAAGGCGCCAGAGCCGCUGCUGAAGGUAUGGAAAACGAGGUCUGUUUUCUGGGACUUGCCGUACUGGAAGAUCCACCGUGUGCCUCACAGCCUUGAUGUCAUGCAUAUCACGAAGAACGUGUGCGAGAGUCUGCUUGGUACCCUGCUCAACAUGCCAGAGAGGAUCAAAGAUGGGCCGAAAGCAAGGGCAGACUUGAAAUCAAUGGGCAUCAGGGAGGAGCUUCAUGCUAGUGAUGAUGAUGAUGAGGCGAAGCAGGACACGAAAAGUCGUCGCAAAGGCAAAAAGGCCAAGAAGACCGGAAAUGACUUCCCUCCCGCGUGCUUCACUCUAAGUCAGGAGGAGAUCGAUCAGUUUUUCACCUGCCUCGUAGGAGUAAAACUUCCUUACGGUUACGCGGGGAAGAUAAGCAGAUACCUAGACUCAGCGAAGCAGAAGUUCAGCGGGAUGAAGUCUCACGACUGUCACGUGCUGAUGACGCAGAUACUUCCAGUUACAAUCCGUGGGAUCAUGGACGCGCACGUCCGUGAAAUGCUAUUUGGCCUAUGCAACUUUUUCGACGUCAUCUCUCGGAAGUCGGUUGGCGUGAGGCAAUUCAGAAGGCUACAGGAAGAGAUCGUGGUGAUACUAUGCGAGCUUGAGAUGUACUUCCCGCCCGCAUUCUUCGACGUUACGGUGCAUCUGCUGGUCCAUAUCAUGGAGGAUAUCAUCCAACUCGGGCCGACGUUCCUGCACAGCAUGAUGCCGUUCGAAAGGAUGAAUGGUGUCAUCAAAGGAUACGUUCGCAACAUGUCACGUCCAGAGGGAAGCAUAGCCAGGGGCUUUCUGACCGAAGAGUGCAUCUCCUACUGCACGAAUUAUCUAGGCAUCGAGAACCCCGUUGGUCUGCCCGUCAACAGGCACCUCGGCAGGCUCGCUGGAUGGGGUCACCGUGAGGGUCGCCGUGAAAUGCAUGUCGACUUCGAGGGUCGACUCGCCGACUUUGAAAGAGCAAACCUAGUCGCGCUACAACACAUAGACGUGGUCGAUCCUUGGGUGGUAGAGCACAAAACCUUUAUUGAGAAGACGUACAAUGACCGAGGCCAACAGAGGACGGACGGAGAUAUAAUCAAAGAGCACAACUCAUGUUUCACGCGUUGGUUCAAGCAGAAGCUUCUGUCGUACCCUUUCAUGAGGAUUCUUCCGCGGAAGAACAACUCAUAUCCGCCUUGUCACAGGGCGCCGAGCACAACCUGAUGACGUAUGAGGCGUAUGAUAUCAACGGCUACACAUUCUACACCGAGGACAAGGACAUGAAGAGCGAUGGUUAUCAGAACUCCGGGGUAACGAUGGAAUCCUACACCGGUAACGACAAGGACAGAUACUACGGAAGGAUCGAGGAGAUCUGGGAGCUGAGCUACGCUGGAGAGAAGGUCCCGAUGUUCCGUGUCAGAUGGGCCAAGAGCGUCAUAAAAGAAGACCGGUAUUUCACCACCAUGGUUAUACCCGAAGCCAAAUCCAAGACCGCGGGCGCGAACGUCACCGCGAAAAAUGAGCCAUGGCUACUGGCUUCCCAAGUGGACCAAUGCUUCUUCAUUACCGACCCGUCAAAGCCCAGUCGUGUUGUCGUGAGGAGAGGCAAAAGGAAGAUCAUCGGAAUGGAUGGAGUCGCCAAUGAGCAAGACUUCGACAAGUACGGCGACCCGAAGAUGGAACAUGACGACGACGAUGAAGUACCAGCAUACACCACAAGAAGAAGCAGGACCACCCUACCUAAAGGACGUCCGUUCAAGAGAAGAACUCCAUUUACGAAAAAUAAGGGCAAGAAGAUUGUGAACAGAUAGCUAGCUAAGAUCGAUUGUAUUUAAAUUGUAGCCUUCAUUUCUCGAUUGUAUUUCAUGGGCACUUUUUGAACUCAUGAAUAUUUUUAAAUUUCAUGGACACUCGAUCUCGAUCCCCCUCCAUCUCGAUCGCUAUCCCACCUCGCCAGAUCCGGUCCCCCUCGCNNNNNNNNNNNNNNNNNNNNNNNNNNNNNNNNNNNNNNNNNNNNNNNNNNNNNNNNNNNNNNNNNNNNNNNNNNNNNNNNNNNNNNNNNNNNNNNNNNNNNNNNNNNNNNNNNNNNNNNNNNNNNNNNNNNNNNNNNNNNNNNNNNNNNNNNNNNNNNNNNNNNNNNNNNNNNNNNNNNNNNNNNNNNNNNNNNNNNNNNNNNNNNNNNNNNNNNNNNNNNNNNNNNNNNNNNNNNNNNNNNNNNNNNNNNNNNNNNNNNNNNNNNNNNNNNNNNNNNNNNNNNNNNNNNNNNNNNNNNNNNNNNNNNNNNNNNNNNNNNNNNNNNNNNNNNNNNNNNNNNNNNNNNNNNNNNNNNNNNNNNNNNNNNNNNNNNNNNNNNNNNNNNNNNNNNNNNNNNNNNNNNNNNNNNNNNNNNNNNNNNNNNNNNNNNNNNNNNNNNNNNNNNNNNNNNNNNNNNNNNNNNNNNNNNNNNNNNNNNNNNNNNNNNNNNNNNNNNNNNNNNNNNNNNNNNNNNNNNNNNNNNNNNNNNNNNNNNNNNNNNNNNNNNNNNNNNNNNNNNNNNNNNNNNNNNNNNNACCUCUGCAGCUCCCCGCGCCCCCGCGCCCCGAGCCGGAGGAGGAGGACCAGGAGGAGGACGAGGAGGAGGAGGAGACGACGACCGCCUCUACCUCAGCUCAGCCAGGCCACGCGCCGCAGGCCGCUCCCCCCAAUCCAGGCCGCCGCCCGGACUCAAGUCUGCAACCUCUCCUCCUCAAGAAGAAGAAGAGGUACGAAUCCAUCUUCCCCUUCUCUUCUUCCCUUUCUAGUUUCUUCUUCGUCUCCCGCAUCUCAUGCGUGCGUGUGUGCAGUUUGUCAGGAACAAGAUCGCCAACGUCGAGGGGCUCCGGGAACUGACGACUGCACCAUCUGCUUCAACCCCCUCCGGCCUCCAGUGUUCCAGGUCUCACCCCUCCACCCAAAUUCACUUCUCUUUGUUUAUCAAAAUCCCUGCUCAUUUCCCCCUGCACGAAUCAUAUGCCGAUGGCACCACUGUUAGCCCCAUCUGAUCCACCAUUGCGUUGGGAGCCUGCAAAAGAAACACACAGAUUCAGAUAGACACCAACCUUCUGAACUGAAACUGAAGAAAGCAGUGGCAUCCUUUCCACAAGGUGCAUUCUCUUCUUUGAUACACACUUGGGUACUGUGAUAAGUGUCAACACACAACAAACACGAAAAAGGAAGAAAAUAAAAACUGUUACUCUCACGCUCCUACUUCUACCCCACCUUGAAAUCACAUUUUGCUUUGUCAGAAUACUUGAGUCGCCAGAAAGACGAAAGUUUUAACCUUUACUGUGAAACUGAACUAUCUAAAGAAACUACUGGAGGGUAAUAAGCAAUCUGAACACCUUACACCACCCAUUUUCUCUUACAGACUUGUAGCAAAACACCUCCCUAACUACAAAAAUGCCAACAAAAAAACUGAGGUAGGAGAUUAUACUCUGAGUGUUACCACUUGAACAUCAUUUCCAAGAAACAAAUUAAUUAAUCAAGUUUUGCAUGGCUCCCCACCGUUGUUUCCCUCUAACUUUCUGAACUGAAACUGAAGGCCUAUGUUUUUAGCAUGAGCAUCAUUUUCACAUAAAAUUUCCUUCUUGAAUGCGCAUGCUGUACUAGUAUGCAUCUGAAUGUGCACCAUAUCACUAUGUGUGCCUAACAUGUGAUUUUCCCUUCAAAUGCUCUAUCAUAGUGACAUGUAUGGUGAGGGUCACGGGACUGACUGUAUGGUUCUGCUGGUGUGGUAAUUGAUUUACUUGUUUGGUUUGGUAGCUGGAGCACUGUAUCAAUGGUGCUGAACUGCUCUUGUUAUGUGACUGGUUGGUGCGUUAUGAGCCACCGUGUUGUGUAUGGCCUGCCUGAGAAUUGGUUAAGUAGUAAGUUGUUUAGGCUUGGCCAUUUCCACUCAUUGUAGAUAGAUAGAGUUACACUUUUGUUACAUUGCGUUAUCUUUCUGUAGAGUAGUAAUGCUCCACUUCCACAUAUUUUUAGUUAGUUAUCUUCCAGUAGUAUUUCAAAUUGAAGCCCUGAGCAGCAACACCUCUUGUGUUGUUCACUAUCACAUAGUUGCAAAACUCCAGUUGCUUUGGUGCAGUUCUUCUUGCCACUGGCAGUUUUUAUGCUGCAUGACACUCGUAGUUCAUGGGGUGGAUGGUCCAUGGCUCAUAGCUCAGAAGAUGGAUAUAUGGCUAUUUAAUUUGCAGUCUCUUAUCUACCCUGCCAGUUAAUAAACAAGUACUCUGUUUUCAGAUAGCUUGAUAGUUAAUCAACAAGUACUCUGUUUUCAGAUAGCUUGAUCAUUGCAAUUUGUUGCUGUCAGCAUGAGUUUAUGUUGUUAUAAGUUUAUGAUCGUACAACUGCAAUUUCAUUUAUGUUGUUAUAAGUUUGUUGCUGUCAGCAUGAGUUAACUUGCUGUCAUUUAUCAAAAUUCAGAAUGUGCUGGACUAUAUGUUCAUUGGUACUACUUGUGAUGUUGCUACUGUACUACUUGGGAAUUUUGUCAACUUGUGAUGCUGCUGCUGUACCCCGAGAGGCCCUUGAGUUUGCUGGAAUGUCGAUUAACUUCCGUUCCGGCAAAUUCGGGUACUCCAUAUGUCCUAUUUUCAGCAAAGGUCAUGCUGAAAUUUUCCAUGAAUUUUAGCAUGACUUUGCUAAAAAUAGGACAUAUGGGGUACUUGUGACUAAUGCAUGGGCCGGGGUCUUAGUACUUAAUUAAGUAGGAUCAACUGCCCCUUUAUUCUUGCUGCAUUAAACCAUAGGUGGCAAUAGAGCCAAGUGAUUAGGCCCAACUUAGAAUUCUCCUUCCCAGCUUAGCUUUUAGGGUGCCUCGGUGUCGAUGAGAACCUAAAUGAUGUACGCUUAGGCUUUUAGGGUGCCUUAGCGUCGACAAACCCUAAAUGAUAAAAGUUUAGCUUUUAGGAUGCCUCGGUGUCGACAAACCCUAAAUGAUGAGACCAUGAUCUUCUUCCUUGACAAUAACCAACUUUUUGACCAAACUUUUUUCCUAUUUAGAGCGAAACAUGGCCCACAAUGAUGAGGCCGGCGGUUCGGGCGGCAAGCAAUUCUGGGAGCUGUCCCAGGAGCUGGAGGAAGAACCUCACCGCUAUGAGGACGACGCCGCGGAAGACACCGAUCCUGACUACACAACCCCUAGUGGCGUCGGGGAUGACACCACUGAUGGUGCCGCCGAGGAUGCCACCACUGAUGAUGGCGGCGCACGCACAGAUGGCAGCCAACCGAAGAGGCAACGGAAGGACCGGCGCCCGAGCGUGCUCGGCACCAUCAAGGAGGAAUUUACUGAAGUGAACUCCGACGGGCAUCCAACGGCGCCCAAACAAGUAGUCAAGGGGUACUCGGUUCAGCUCGGGUGCAUUCUCCGGAGCACCGUCUCGAUCAACACCGAGAACCUAAGGCAUAAGGACCGAGGGAAUUUGCGCAGCCUCCUCUUCACGAAGCUGCACGAACGAUACAAGUUCCCCGCUGAGUUUGCAAACACACGCCUCUCAGGGAAUAAAGUGAACAGUGCCGCCCUCACGAGGAUGAGCACGGCCCUGUCUACAUGGAGAAGCACGGUGAAGGCAAUGAUUGAAAAAGGUGAUAGUUAUGAGAAGAUCAAGGCGAAAUAUCCUUUGAUGAGCGAAGAUGACUACAAGGAGUUCAAGAUCAAGUGCGAGAGCAGCGCAAUCUCCGAAUCAAGUCAGUGGGGGAAAGAAAUGCGGCAGUUGAACUUAGGGGUCCACCAACUCGGUCCCGGCGGUUACAAAGUGGCGGAGCCUAUAUGGGACAAGGAGGACGCGGAGCGUGCCGAGCAAGGCCUACCGCCCCGCUUCGAGAAAUUCCGUGACAAGCAGACCAGGAACUUUGUUAGGGCCCGGUACAAGGAGGACCCGGUAACAAAGGAGCUUACCACGGAUCCGAAGACCAGGGCACUUGAGCUUGUUCUGGUAAGGAAUACACCCCCGCGUAAUUAGCUCCAUAUGGUUGCAUUCUAAUUAAUGAAGCCAAAUUUCUAAAUGGUUCACAUUCCUUCCGCAGGAGGCUGAAAGCAGUAGCGCGGGGUCGUCUCAGAGCUCCCCUUUUGACACCCCUUUAAAUAGGGCGUUGAACGUAAUGAAAAACAAGGAUAAGCUCAGUAAGCCGUCGUCAGCUGGUCGUGUGGCCGGCAAAGGCUUGUCCACAAAAUGGUCGUCAUACUAUACCGCUGGUGGGCGAAAGGAGAAAAAGACCAGCUCGGAAAGCCAGUCGCGCGAGGUUCAAGAACUCAAGGCACAAGUGGCGCGGAUUCCGGAGAUUGUCGAAGAGCAAGUGCAACAACAACUGGGAACGACGCUCACCGCCAUUGUGCCUACCUUGAUUCAGGGGCUGACGACGUGGAUUGCGGGCGGCCAACAGGGGCCUCCCUCGGUUCCCAGCUUCAUGGCCAGCAACUCGCACAACGCGCAGACGGCGCCAUUGGUGUCUCCGGCGGAGGCGGUAUUCGUGUCUCCGGCGCUGGCACGGGCAUUGGAGCUUAAUGCACCCAGGUGUACGCCGGCCGGCACCUCGCCAGCAAGCGGCCCCUCCGUCAGUUGCACGCCCGCCGUUGGCGGUGCCUCGACAUUAGCCGAGCUCGACGGCAUCAUGGUAACUAAGCCUCUCGGCCGAUGACUUCAUCUCCUUGCCUUUGACUAGGCAUCCUUGACGCCCUACAUGUUUUCGCAGGGCGCCGCCGACGUUCCUUGCACUCUCCUGCACUUCGUGGGCGGCUAGUUGGUUGAUGUCGCCAAGGGCAGAAUCAUUCAACCGGGCAACCGCGUGUUCCACGGUAAUCCGAUGCCACCCACCUUGUAUAGGGUUGAACUGGUUCGGGUGCCGCCAGGCUGCGACGAGUUGUUACCUCCGAUUCGACCCGCUGGGGCCGACGAAGAUGAUGUGAUGACCCUCAGUGCCUGCGUAAGCUGGCCCCUGCUUUGGCCGAAGAGCCAGAUUCGUUUGGGGGCGGGGGAAACCACCCCACAGACAAGACCGCCAGUCGUGCCAGCGCCAAGCCAUGGCAAGAACGCCGCAACGCUACCGGAUAUGCCGGACAUCCCUAUGGCACAGGAUCCGGACAUGCAUAUGGCACAGGAUCCGGACGAGACGGUACAUUUUCCAACGUCGAUAAGUACUUGCCGAACAUGGGUACGGUGACGAGUUCUGCGGGUCUCCUUCUCAAGAACCCAACCCUGAAAAAGACGACCGCGAUCUAGCUGGUACGGCGGAGAAACCCAAUUGCAACAGGUGUCGUCUGGCGUUCAGUUCUCAGGAGACGCCUCCAGCUGCCGCCUUCACCGAGCCUCAGAUAGCUGAGGUGCGAAAUAUUAUCAGCCCCAACACGCUCAAGAAGGCGGUCUGUGAGCAUAACUCGAUCCCAUUACAGCAGAUCAGGAAGAAGGGACAGAAACGAAAGACUAACAAGGGCGCCAGUGCGAGCCAGCCGGCACCGAGUACGAUCCGUGCUCAGGACGGGCCACCUUCACCUAAGGAUAUCUCGAGGAGGGUGCAUGUGGCGGGUAGGGCGAUGCUACCGACAAAUAUGCUCAAUGCUGCAACCGGUGCUAUGCGGAGUCUGCAUGACAGUGUUCUUUCUUUGGAGAAGCGGCGUCUCAGAGAGAAUGAUGUGGCAUACCCGGUUUUCGUGGCCAAGGUGCCAGAGGGCAAGGGCUUUGUGGAUAGCGCCGUCGGGGGUACGAUCGUCCUGUGGUUUGAUGACAUCUUUGCUAUUUUAACCUUCAUCCGCUGCACUACACCUUCGUUCGGCUGUUUUUGCUGAGUAUGGAGAUGCGGAUCAUUAGAGACAAGACUCCGGACAUUGUGAUGGUCGACCCCUUCUACAUGCGUGCCAAGAUCUUGGGCAGCGCUGGGGACCGGCAAGUCGCGAGUUCACACCUCGAAGGCGUCAUUCUGGCAAACCCAGAUAAGGAUAACUUCCUCGUGCCUUACAUCCCGAGUAAGUCAUCCCCUAACCGCCCCGUAACAUAUGAUUUCUUAGAUUUUGAUCUUUUUUUUUUCUAACAUUUCGUGUUCUGUGCAGUGACACACAUUGCACACUCAUCCUCUUAAGCCCGAAAUAUUCCAUGGCCACGUAUUUCGACCCGGACCGUGACUCCAAGAUAGACUACACAAAUAUCAAGAAAGUUCUUGAUGAUGCUCUCCCCGGCUACGCCGCAUCUGGAGGCACCUUUAAGAGGCCAGCUCGUAGGUACGGCAGGCACGUGUUCACCCACAAUACGACGUUCCCCUGCGUCAAGCAGCCGCCUGGCGGUCAGAAGGAUGCCUACUACGCCCUCCAUCACAUGCGGGCGAUCGUACGGGACCAUAAUCACCUUCUGCUACCAAAUAAUCUCAAAGAUUGGGCCGCAAGCUUGGCGGCAAUCCAGGACGCGGACAUCCGACAAUAAUUCUUUCGCAUCCAGUCGGAGUUUGCAGAAAUCAUCCAUCAAGAUGUCCUUCGUACCUCGGGGCAGUUCUACCUCAAAUAUCAACCGUCCAACAGUGAGAUAGACACAAUGCUACAAAUGCAGGCUGACAACGUCCGCGACUUCAUGACCAUCACGACAGACGACGGCUUCAUCCACGCUCCGGUCCCAUGAGUCGAGUCGAAAGUAGUGAUGCUAUGUGUAGUUCUGAAACAUUGAUUAGCUCAUGUUGUAAUUAAACUUUAAUGAACUUGUAUGUCUCUUUGGUUUGGACAGUCGUUCAACUUAGAUGUAAUCGAUGCUAUUUAUUAGUAGGACCAUGAAUUGUGCUAUUAAUGUCUUGUUUUUCUCUUCCGAUCCUUUUGCUGCAUACUUAUAUAUUGCUUAUGUAUUGUCUGUUGUUUGGCUAGUGCAUAGAGAUGCCGUCGUAUGUCGUGUACAAGGGUAAGGUUCCCGGAGUCUACGACGACUGGGAGGAGUGUCGGAGACAGGUUCACCGUUUCAGCGGUAACAGUUACAAAGGGUACACCACUAGGGCGGAGGCGGAAUCUAGAUACGCGCGCUAUCUAGCGGGAGAGAGGAGGGAGCGUUGGAGGAACCGGAUGAAGACCAGUUUCAUCGCGAUGAUGCUCAUCGUGAUGACCGCAGCUCUCUUCUAUGUGAUGGUAGUUUAGAUGAUCAAUAUCGACUUGUAUUGUGAAGACAAACUCGCUACUCGCGGUCUCGAGACUUGUAAUGUUCUAUCUUUGUUCGGUCUUUUGAAUUCGGAGACUAAUAUGAUGAAUUGUAUUCGGAGACUAAUCUUCUAUUGUAUUCGAUGAAUCUGCUGUUGCUGUGUGGUGCUGUCUAUAUUCUGUCCAAUAAUAUAUUUUGUAAUCUGUGCAAAUAUCAGAAAAGAAAAAAAAUCCCUAAUAUACAUACUAAUGGCGCAUCACCCCAACGUGCGCCAUUAGUAUGCCAAAGGAUACUAAUGGCGCAUCACCCCGCAGUGUGCCAUUAGUAUGGCAAAGCACAUGUGUAAAUAUUGCCCCCUGGGAGGCACACUAAUGGCGCAUGUUGGUCUAUACUAAUGGCGCAUCACGUCGUGUGCGCCAUUAGUAUACCAGAUACUAAUGGCACACCAGUGGUGCGCCAUUAGUAUUUAAUACUAGUGGCGUGGUACUAGUGGCGCACCAGUAGUGCGCCAUUAGUAGGCAAAACUGGUGCGCCAUUAGUAGGCCUUUUCCUAGUAGUGACUUCUUCGCUUGAUCAUGCAUGUAAAACGCACGGUUCAGCGGGGAAACCGCAAAUUAACGACACCCCUGAGCGUACAGUGGGAAAAGGCUAUCGGUAAGUGGCGAUAAUUUUGGGAUACCGAUGGUCUGUUAAAUUGCAGACAGCCUCCUUCUCUCUCCCUGUUCUCUCACCUCCACGUAAUAUAAAGUUUGAGGUGGAAAACAUUACAGACAGCUGAGUAGACGCCGUUGUACAUGCCCUCAAGGAGUUAAUCCACACCAUGGAUUGUAAAUGACCUGCAGCCAAACCAAGAUAUAAAGGAGGGCGUCACCAUCCGCAGAAACAUUAGAGAAACAAGAAGAGACCAUACACUUUGAUUUUAGGGAGGUGGAGGGGCAAUCCGAAGAGGAGUAGCGCUAUGAUGGGGCUUUUGCUUUUCAGGCAAACAUUUAUAGAUCGAAGGGGAGAGGUGGAGCAGUGCCUGUUCGGCUAUGGUAAUUGAAUGAAGGAAUUAGGAGCCUGUAGGGGAAGGGGAUGGGACGGGCGGGAAGGAGAAGAGGUUGGGAUUUUCUUUUUUGUUUGCGAAUUGACACCAUUGGCAUUCGGUGUUAAUUUAAGUAGGGAACUGAGCAACGACAUGCAUGUCUACAUGCCAAUAAAAAUUAGUUAAAUUCUUUUCUAGGCCAUGACCGUAGGAUGGAAAAGAGUGAUUGGCUGAUUUUGCAAACUUAUUGAUGAUGUGGCAUAAAGAUGAUAGGGAUAGUAUGCAUAUUGAGAGAAUAGGUAGAAGUGGGGAGUAACUUCCUAAGAAUGUUAGAUACCAAGCCGUGCAUGGCCGUGCUCGAAGUCAAAAGCGCCAUCUGAUUUGCCCAAUUUUCCUUUAACUGAGCGUGGCCAUGGAUCAGAUGACACCCCAUCCAGGUCUGGCUCGCAAACGAUUCAAAAAUAUUGUACUCCGGGACACGAGCUCAUGUCAACUCGUCGGGACACGGGACGCCGUGCGCGAUCGUCGGAUCGAUGCCAGGCACCUCUCGCCACUUUAGUCGCCGUGCACGUCGUCAUGCCCCCCUCGCCGUGCAUAAACACUGCACCUUCUCGCCCGUCCAUGCCCAUCUUAUCCUGUGCUGUCUCCAAUAUCUAGCCAAGUAAAAUCGCUGGCAGCAGGCAGUAGACAUGGGUGGCAAGUGUAAGGGCAGCCCUGUGGGGUGUUUCCUGCUCGCCGGGCUUCUGCUGGUGGCCGGACGGGAACUGAAGCAAGAGGAAGAAGACUGCAUAGACAAAUGCCUGGCAGAAAGCCCCGAGGAGGACUUCCCCCAGUGCUUUGCGCUGUGCCCGCACAGUGCUGUGGAGGAGAGCGGCGGCGGAAACAACGGCCGUACAACGGACUGCGUGGGCUGCUGCCGGGAGCACGAAGGCGAUGAUAGCGAGAGGAAGCGGUGCAUGAUAACCUGCAGCUGGAACCGCCUUGUGGAGGAGAGCGGCACCAGAAACAUCGUCCGUACGAUGGACUGCGCGGCCCACUGCGUGAGGUACGAAGGCGAUGAGAGGGCUGCGUAACAACCUGCAAGUGGGAGCUCCGGGUCGCCGGCGGCUGGGAGAAAACGGUGGCCGAAGUACUUCCGUUGGUGUAACGGCGACCGGGGCCCUUCUCUGUCUUUGAUUGUUUUUUCAGAGUGUGCUUUGAGUAUGUCGUAGUUCGCACACGUUGAUGUUGGCGUGGGAAUGUGCGUGUUACUUAGAGCUACGGUUCACCGGCCGUGGCCGGUGGCCGUUUAUGGCGCAGCGGCUUGUCCUCCUCCGACGGCGUCGUGCCCUCCUCGUGCCGUGGUGGCCUUAGAGGUCCGCAAACCUGCAUAUAAUCGAUGGAGCCGCGUCGAGCUCGGGUGUAGAGGUGAUUCAUCAAUUUCUUUGGUGGCUGUUUGGUGGUGCAAGAGGCAGGUGACGAGCAUUGGUGUCAAGCUCGAAGGUUUCUUUGGUCUUGUUUGUAUUUUUAUUUCUUGGCCACUGUUCCUUUAUGUAAAGGCUAGUGUUCUUCUAUUUUUUUAGUUUGUCAAGUCGGUAUGUACUCCCUCCGGUCCUUUUUAGUCUGCAUAUAAGUUUUGUCUGAAGUCAAAGCAUAUCUAAUUUGACCAAACUUAUAGGAAAAAGUAUUAACAUUUACAAUGUCAAAUCAAUAUUGUUAGAUUCAUUAUGAAAUGUAGUUUCAUGAAAUAUAUAUUAGGUAUGAUAGAUGUUGAUAUUUUUUAAUAUAUAUUUGGUCAAACUUUGCAAAGUUUGACUGGACCUAAAUCUAAUAUGCGGAGUAAAAAGGACUGGAGGGAGUACAUGGCUUGUACUAUGGUCCUUAUAAUAUAAAUGAAACACGUAUUAUCAUGAAAAUAAAAAUAAAGUUGCUCUAGGUCCUUGGGCCCCUUCUAAAAGAAGGUGUAAAGAUAAAAUGCGGAAUACUCGCACCAACCCAAUGACGCGCUACCUUGUGAUGUUGUGAGGUGAAAAUCUUGUGCUACUCCCUCUGAUCCGAAUAUUGAAGUUAUGAGGUGAAAAUCUAGGUUGCGCUACUCUUCGAUCUGAAUUAAUUGACCUGUAUAGAGGCUGCAUCAAUUAAUUCAAAUAUAAGAGAGUAGCAAAAUACAAAAAAAAAAUCCUGAUGAAAAUAUGUCCAGAGAUGUUUUUGGAAAGAACAUGUAUUAAUCAGCCCAAAUCACAAAAAAAAAACAGCUAGAUGAUUUUUCUUUUUUGUACAUGUAUCAAUCUGGUAACAUUACAUCAACGUCACCUUCUCCCGUGACGCUAACAAAAUCAGCACAACUAUACCUAACAGAACACCACAACGGUAUCACACAAGCUCUCAUGUACACAUCAUCUUCGCCGAGAAAAAGGCAAAAAUGGUAAAGAAAUCAACAAUCUUUCAGUCAAUCCAACUCCAAAACCAAUAAAAAUCAUCUAGCCCUUCACAGAUCUCACGGGAUGUACAUCAUUGCCUGUUAAGAUAAUUAAGAAAAAGUACUUAUCCAAAUGAGCAAAAAAAAA